GGAUGAACGCUGGCGGCGUGCUUAAUACAUGCAAGUCGAGCGAAUGGAUUAAGAGCUUGCUCUUAUGAGUUAGCGGCGGACGGGUGAGUAACACGUGGGUAACCUACCCAUAAGACUGGGAUAACUCCGGGAGACCGGGGCUAAUACCGGAUAAUAUUUUGAACUGCAUAGUUCGAAAUUGAAAGGCGGCUUCGGCUGUCACUUAUGGAUGGACCCGCGUCGCAUUAGCUAGUUGGUGAGGUAACGGCUCACCAAGGCGACGAUGCGUAGCCGACCUGAGAGGGUGAUCGGCCACACUGGGACUGAGACACGGCCCAGACUCCUACGGGAGGCAGCAGUAGGGAAUCUUCCGCAAUGGACGAAAGUCUGACGGAGCAACGCCGCGUGAGUGAUGAAGGCUUUCGGGUCGUAAAACUCUGUUGUUAGGGAAGAACAAGUGCUAGUUGAAUAAGCUGGCACCUUGACGGUACCUAACCAGAAAGCCACGGCUAACUA
RNAcentral lists this ribosomal RNA (495 nucleotides) under Bacillus mycoides. RNAcentral describes it as "bacterial SSU rRNA". It matches the Rfam family "Bacterial small subunit ribosomal RNA", at positions 27 to 503 of the family's 1533-position model. The record is from RNAcentral. Lineage: Bacteria; Bacillati; Bacillota; Bacilli; Caryophanales; Bacillaceae.